AAGGGUAUAGCUCAGUGGUAGAACACAAGCUUAGCAUGCAUGAGUGCAUGAGGUCCUGGGUUCAAUCCCCAGUACCUCCA
RNAcentral lists this transfer RNA (80 nucleotides) under Camelus bactrianus (Bactrian camel). It matches the Rfam family "tRNA". Rfam says of the family: Transfer RNA (tRNA) molecules are approximately 80 nucleotides in length. Their secondary structure includes four short double-helical elements and three loops (D, anti-codon, and T loops). Lineage: Eukaryota; Metazoa; Chordata; Mammalia; Artiodactyla; Camelidae. The record is from Rfam by way of RNAcentral. RNAcentral also lists the same sequence under 1 other name.